Molecule: ribosomal RNA, 497 nt
Filed under: uncultured bacterium
Lineage: Bacteria
Description: partial 16S ribosomal RNA
Rfam family: Bacterial small subunit ribosomal RNA
Source: RNAcentral
GAUGAACGCUGGCGGCGUGCCUAAUACAUGCAAGUCGAGCGACCAGAUGAGCCGCUUGCUCCUCUCACGUUCGCGACGCACGGGUGAGUAACACUUGGAUAACCUACCUAUAAGCCUGGGAUCACUUCGUACCACCUGCGCUACUCCCUUGUAAUCUAUUGACCCGCAUGGUUCAAUACUCAAAGACGGUUUUGCUGUCUCUUAUCGAUGUAUCCGCGGCGCAUUAGCUACUUGGUAAGGUAACGGCGUACCAAGGCAACGAUGCGUAGCCGACCUGAGAGUGUGAUAGGACACACAGGAACAGAGACACGGACCAGACGCCUACGGGAGGAAGCAGUAGGGAAGCGGCCGAAAUGGGCGAAUGCGUGACGGAGCAACGCCGCGAGAGUGAUGAAGGUAUGCGGAUCGUAAAACUGUGUUAUUAGGGAAGAAGAAAUGUGUAAGUAACUAUGCACGGCUUGACGGUACCGAAUCAGAAAGCCACGGCUAACUACGUG